UUGCUCGGAAUCACUGGGCGUAAAGCGCACGUAGGCGGUCUCUUAAGUCGGUGGUGAAAUCCUGGAGCUCAACUCCAGAACUGCCUUCGAUACUGAGAGUCUUGAGUCCGGGAGAGGUGAGUGGAACUGCGAGUGUAGAGGUGAAAUUCGUAGAUAUUCGCAAGAACACCAGUGGCGAAGGCGGCUCACUGGCCCGGUACUGACGCUGAGGUGCGAAAGCGUGGGGAGCAAACAGG
Molecule: ribosomal RNA, 236 nt
Filed under: uncultured bacterium
Lineage: Bacteria
Description: partial 16S ribosomal RNA
Rfam family: Bacterial small subunit ribosomal RNA
Source: RNAcentral